UACUAUGAGGUCAUAGUUUGAUAAUUUAAAAUAAUUGAAUCAAUCUUCUUACGGUUUUGAAUCAAAAAUUCUCAAAUAACUCUAGCACCUUUGACGAGUUCAUAAUGGAUUUCUCAUUGUGUUUGAUCUUUCGUUGGUUUCUUAUUUGGUUCUGGUUGUCUUGUAUUCUCUUAUUUGGCAGUGGACCUUUUGGAAUGAGAUGUUAGUAAUUUUCUUUUGGAUUCGUGAUUUGCUUUAUUUUUGGUUGAAGUAUUUCUUGUAAAAAAAAUUAUAUGAAAAAUUUAUUUUAUUUUC
Molecule: long non-coding RNA, 294 nt
Filed under: Medicago truncatula (barrel medic)
Lineage: Eukaryota; Viridiplantae; Streptophyta; Magnoliopsida; Fabales; Fabaceae
Description: lncRNA gene12249
Source: RNAcentral